GACGAACGCUGGCGGCGUGCCUAAUACAUGCAAGUUGAGCGCUGAAGGUUGGUACUUGUACCAACUGGAUGAGCAGCGCACGGGUGAGUAACGCGUGGGGAAUCUGCCUUUGAGCGGGGGACAACAUUUGGAAACGAAUGCUAAUACCGCAUAAAAACUUUAAACACAAGUUUUAAGUUUGAAAGAUGCAAUUGCAUCACUCAAAGAUGAUCCCGCGUUGUAUUAGCUAGUUGGUGAGGUAAAGGCGCACCAAGGCGAUGAUACAUAGCCGACCUGAGAGGGUGAUUGGCCACACUGGGACUGUGACACGGCACAAACUCCUUCGGGAGGCAGCAGUAGGGAAUCUUCAGCAAUGGACGAAAGUCUGACCGAGCAACGCCGCGGGAGUGAAGAAGGUUGUCGGAUCGGAAAACUCGGUUGGUAGAGAAGAACGUUGGUGAGAGUGGAAAGCUCAGCAAGUGACGGUAACUACCCAGAAAGGGACGGCUAACUACGUG
This 497-nucleotide ribosomal RNA is filed under the name uncultured bacterium. RNAcentral's name for it is "partial 16S ribosomal RNA". It matches the Rfam family "Bacterial small subunit ribosomal RNA", at positions 28 to 507 of the family's 1533-position model. The record is from RNAcentral.